Molecule: ribosomal RNA, 468 nt
Filed under: uncultured bacterium
Lineage: Bacteria
Description: partial 16S ribosomal RNA
Rfam family: Bacterial small subunit ribosomal RNA
Source: RNAcentral
GACGAACGCUGGCGGCGUGCUUAACACAUGCAAGUCGAACGGAAAGGCCCUGCUCUUGUGGGGUGCUCGAGUGGCGAACGGGGGUGUGAAACGCGAGUAACCUGCCCCUGUCUUUGGGAGAACUUCAGGAAACUGGGGCGAAUAUCGGAUAGGAGCUCCUGCUGCACGGGGGGGGUUGGAGAGAUCCGGCGGUGGUGGCUCGUCUCGCAGCUUAUCAGCUUGAUGGUGGAGUAGGUGCUUACAAAGGCUUCGACGGGUAGCCGGCCUGGGAGGGUGGCCGGCGACAAUGCGACUGCGGUAGGGACCAGACUGCUACGGGCCGCAGCAGUGGGGAAUAUGGCGCAAUGGGCCGAAGUCUGAUACAGCAACGCCGCGUGCGGAAUGCCCGCCUUCGGGUUGAAAACAGCUUUCGCCUGAACCGAAGCGUGAGUGACGGUAAUGGGUAAAGAAGCACCGGCUAACUACGUG